Molecule: transfer RNA, 72 nt
Filed under: archaeon
Lineage: Archaea
Also listed under: 1 other name
Description: tRNA-Asn
Rfam family: tRNA
About the family: Transfer RNA (tRNA) molecules are approximately 80 nucleotides in length. Their secondary structure includes four short double-helical elements and three loops (D, anti-codon, and T loops).
Source: RNAcentral
GCCCCGGUAGCUUAGCGGCAGAGCGCCUGGCUGUUAACCAGGCGGUCGCAGGUUCGAAUCCUGCCCGGGGCG